Molecule: ribosomal RNA, 254 nt
Filed under: uncultured bacterium
Lineage: Bacteria
Description: partial 16S ribosomal RNA
Rfam family: Bacterial small subunit ribosomal RNA
Source: RNAcentral
UACGAAGGGGGCUAGCGUUGCUCGGAAUCACUGGGCGUAAAGCGCACGUAGGCGGGUCGCUAAGUCGGGGGUGAAAUCCUGGAGCUCAACUCCAGAACUGCCUUCGAUACUGGCGACCUUCGAGUCCGGGAGAGGUGAGUGGAACUGCGAGUGUAGAGGUGAAAUUCGUAGAUAUUCGCAAGAACACCAGUGGCGAAGGCGGCUCACUGGCCCGGUACUGACGCUGAGGUGCGAAAGCGUGGGGAGCAAACAGG